GAUGAACGCUGGCGGCGUGCCUAAUACAUGCAAGUAGAACGCUGAAGGAGGAGCUUGCUCUUCUGGAUGAGUUGCGAACGGGUGAGUAACGCGUAGGUAACCUGCCUGGUAGCGGGGGAUAACUAUUGGAAACGAUAGCUAAUACCGCAUGACAACAGUUAUUGCAUGAUAACUGUUUAAAAGGGGCAACUGCUCCACUACCAGAUGGACCUGCGUUGUAUUAGCUAGUUGGUGAGGUAACGGCUCACCAAGGCGACGAUACAUAGCCGACCUGAGAGGGUGAUCGGCCACACUGGGACUGAGACACGGCCCAGACUCCUUCGGGAGGCAGCAGUAGGGAAUCUUCGGCAAUGGACGGAAGUCUGACCGAGCAACGCCGCGGGAGUGAAGAAGGGUUUCGGAUCUUAAAGCUCUGUUGUAAGAGAAGAACGAGUGUGAGAGUGGAAAGUUCACACUGUGACGGUAUCUUACCAGAAAGGGACGGCUAACUACGUG
RNAcentral lists this ribosomal RNA (495 nucleotides) under uncultured bacterium. RNAcentral's name for it is "partial 16S ribosomal RNA". It matches the Rfam family "Bacterial small subunit ribosomal RNA", at positions 28 to 507 of the family's 1533-position model. The record is from RNAcentral.